GUUAAGCGACUAAGCGUACACGGUGGAUGCCCUGGCAGUCAGAGGCGAUGAAGGACGUGCUAAUCUGCGAUAAGCGUCGGUAAGGUGAUAUGAACCGUUAUAACCGGCGAUUUCCGAAUGGGGAAACCCAGUGUGAUUCGUCACACUAUCAUUAACUGAAUCCAUAGGUUAAUGAGGCGAACCGGGGGAACUGAAACAUCUAAGUACCCCGAGGAAAAGAAAUCAACCGAGAUUCCCCCAGUAGCGGCGAGCGAACGGGGAGCAGCCCAGAGCCUGAAUCAGUGUGUGUGUUAGUGGAAGCGUCUGGAAAGGCGCGCGAUACAGGGUGACAGCCCCGUACACAAAAAUGCACAUGCUGUGAGCUCGAUGAGUAGGGCGGGACACGUGGUAUCCUGUCUGAAUAUGGGGGGACCAUCCUCCAAGGCUAAAUACUCCUGACUGACCGAUAGUGAACCAGUACCGUGAGGGAAAGGCGAAAAGAACCCCGGCGAGGGGAGUGAAAAAGAACCUGAAACCGUGUACGUACAAGCAGUGGGAGCACGCUUAGG
RNAcentral lists this ribosomal RNA (548 nucleotides) under Escherichia coli. RNAcentral describes it as "partial 23S ribosomal RNA". It matches the Rfam family "Bacterial large subunit ribosomal RNA", at positions 1 to 589 of the family's 2925-position model. Lineage: Bacteria; Pseudomonadati; Pseudomonadota; Gammaproteobacteria; Enterobacterales; Enterobacteriaceae. The record is from RNAcentral. RNAcentral also lists the same sequence under 1 other name.